CGCGGGUCCCACGCGGCGCCCAUCUCGUGAACUCCCCCAGGGCAGGAAUGCAGCAAGGGUCAGCGAGCUCUGGCGGGUGCGUGGGGCCCCCUUUU
This 95-nucleotide signal recognition particle RNA is filed under the name Corynebacterium sphenisci. Its description in RNAcentral is "signal recognition particle sRNA small type". It matches the Rfam family "Bacterial small signal recognition particle RNA". Rfam says of the family: The signal recognition particle (SRP) is a universally conserved ribonucleoprotein involved in the co-translational targeting of proteins to membranes. The record is from RNAcentral. RNAcentral also lists the same sequence under 1 other name. Lineage: Bacteria; Bacillati; Actinomycetota; Actinomycetes; Mycobacteriales; Corynebacteriaceae.